Non-coding RNA from Alligator sinensis (Chinese alligator), 2225 nucleotides. Lineage: Eukaryota; Metazoa; Chordata; Crocodylia; Alligatoridae. The record is from the annotation of a RefSeq genome assembly.
AAACUACAAGCUCCUCUUUGGCUCUGGGACUAUGCUGUCUGUUAGACCAAACCUCCAGGAUUCUGAUCCUUCUAUCUACAAGCUGAAGUCCCCUGAAACACAUAUUUCAGCCUGUCUUAUCACAGACUACUUCCCUGACAAUGUCAUCAUCACUAACGAAGGAAAGAAUGAAUCACUUCAAAGCUCCAUUAUCGAAGUGAGAAACCCAGAGAGCAACAAGAAGGAAGCCAGCUAUGGAGGAGUGCAUUGGUUCGAAUCUAACUUUGAUGGUUUCGUUAACCAUUCAUUGCACUUCACAUCCAAGUGCUCAGACGAUACCGAAGAUGAGGAAGAUACAUGUACAACCAUGGAGAUGUCUGACAGCUUUGAGACAGAUGAGCAUCUGAACUUGAUGUCCUUCAUGGUACUGGGCAUGAAAGCCAUUUUCCUGAAGGGAGUCGCAUUCAACCUGAUCAUGACCUUCAUUGCAUGGAGGAGCUAAGGUGUGAAAGAAAUGUGAAUAUCUGUGAUCAAGAGUGAUGGGAGUUACCAAAAGCGCUCCUAUCUUCUUCUCACCAGACCAUCCCAUACAGCAACCAAUGAACCCCAUACCAAUGUGUAUUGAUUGUCAACAGUCACCUCUCUACAUGCAGCUCACCGUAUAUAAUGUUCAAGAAGUGCUUUUAAUUUAGUAUGCUUCAUAAGGACCUUGCUGAUUGUUUAAAAACCCUCAUUACUCUCAACUCCCAUGUGCUGACCAAUGCAUCUUCACUACCUUCCUGUGUGAGGCAAGGAACUGUUAAUUUGGACUUGUCAGGUGUUGUCAAAAAAGCUUUUUUCAAUGGAAAAAUCCUGGAUUUUUUCCUCAUUGAAUGAGGAAUUUUUCAAUUUCAAUCCUCAUUAAAUUGCCACUUUGUAGAAAGUGUCUUUUCAGGCAGGGAAUAAUUGUUUGCUGUUGAAAGCCUACAAAGCUGAAGAAAGUGACUUAGAACCAACUUUUUAAUCAUACUUUGACAUUUCAGCCAAAUGUGUUUGGGGCGGAAACGUUUACUUUCCAAUGAUCUUGCAAAAAUCAAGCAAUUGAGAAAAAGAUCUCCAAAAGCAUGUGUAGGUGGGUGGGGUUCACUGAAAGAAAAAAACCAUGGGGGAGGAAACCAUUUUGAAACUGAAAGGGGAAUAGAUGCAUAGAAAGAUUCAAAUUUUCAAUGGGCACUGACUCCCCACUGAAAUUAAUGCUGAAUUUCUCAUUCCAGUCCAAAACACAGCCUCAAAUCCUCUGUCCCUGGCAGAAUUUUCAAAAGGGAAUCAGGAGACAACCUGCACUUGAAAUUCAAUGGAUGGGAUUUGGACAGGCAGUUUUUGUGGGCUCCUGUGCAAAUUGCUAGCCAGUAGUUUCCUAACAGCCCCAGGCUUUUUAAAGCAGAUGGUUUGAAAUUGAAAUUGGAUAAUUUCAGACUGAAAAUUAAGCCUCGUUGUGCACAACAUGUAAAGAGCAAUUAGGCAGUGGAACACCUUAGGGAUGGGGUGGAUUCUCUGAGACUUGCAGCUUUUCAGCCAGCAGCAGGUGUCUUUCCAAGAGCCAAGUGUUAGCUCAACUGGGAGAUUACAUCUUGAGACAGAAGUCAGGAGUGAAUAGAAAUCCCUUUGCUUGCUUCUUGCAGAUCAGAAUGGGGGCAUAUCACAGCACUGUCUGGCCCUGAUGACUAUCGGAGCACAUACACAUGCAUACUCAUGCACAAUAUCACAUACAUGCUUCGUAACCAACUCUCCAACCAUUGACUAUUCAGAGUCUGAGCUAGAUUCUUUGCUGGUGUGAUUCAGCUUAAUUGCACUGAUUUUUAGCAAACUUCUGAAAUACAUGCUUUCAUCAAGGACAAGUUAUCAGGCUCAUUACAAGGGACUAGAUAGUUUAGUAAUUUCUUCUGAUUGACACCAUUCAUAGAGACCAACACCAGUUUAGGAUUUCCCUCUCUUCCUCUCCCCUUUUUUUCUUUUUUAGUCCUAUUUUUGUUAUCUGUUCUCUAGCUCUCAACCAUAGACUUUUGCAGGUAUAUCGUUUAUCAUUUUUAGAGUUGUAUAAACUAUGCAUAUCUACUCAUGUUUAGCCUUUAAAAAAAGAAGUAUAGUUAUUCAUAUGAAUUUUUUAUUCCUGCUCAGAGUCUUUGUAUUGCACCAAUGAGAUCACCAUAUACUGUCUUUUAUUCUACCUGGUGCCAUGCGCCGCUAUUAAAGAUCUUUGUUGAUUA